CCUACGGGGGGCAGCAGUGGGGAAUAUUGGACAAUGGGGGCAACCCUGAUCCAGCCAUGCCGCGUGUGUGAAGAAGGCCCUCGGGUUGUAAAGCACUUUCAGUGAGGAAGAACGCCUGGUGGUUAAUACCCAUCAGGAAAGACAUCACUCACAGAAGAAGCACUGGCUAACUCCGUGCCAGCAGCCGCGGUAAUACGGAGGGUGCGAGCGUUAAUCGGAAUUACUGGGCGUAAAGCGCGCGUAGGUGGCUUGAUAAGCCGGUUGUGAAAGCCCCGGGCUCAACCUGGGAACGGCAUCCGGAACUGUCAAGCUAGAGUGCAGGAGAGGAAGGUAGAAUUCCCGGUGUAGCGGUGAAAUGCGUAGAGAUCGGGAGGAAUACCAGUGGCGAAGGCGGCCUUCUGGACUGACACUGACACUGAGGUGCGAAAGCGUGGGUAGCAAACAGGAUUAGAUACCCUUGUAGUC
RNAcentral lists this ribosomal RNA (465 nucleotides) under Vreelandella stevensii. Its description in RNAcentral is "partial 16S ribosomal RNA". It matches the Rfam family "Bacterial small subunit ribosomal RNA", at positions 338 to 795 of the family's 1533-position model. Lineage: Bacteria; Pseudomonadati; Pseudomonadota; Gammaproteobacteria; Oceanospirillales; Halomonadaceae. The record is from RNAcentral.